Molecule: transfer RNA, 23 nt
Filed under: Delphinus delphis (saddleback dolphin)
Lineage: Eukaryota; Metazoa; Chordata; Mammalia; Artiodactyla; Delphinidae
Description: partial tRNA-Glu
Source: RNAcentral
UAGGGUUCUUGUAGUUGAAUUAC